Molecule: long non-coding RNA, 768 nt
Organism: Patella vulgata (common limpet)
Lineage: Eukaryota; Metazoa; Mollusca; Gastropoda; Patellidae
Exons: 3
Source: RefSeq, a predicted model, not a curated record
UUUCAAUAAGCCAAUGGUUGAAUUUCAUUGUUGAUGACAUACAAGAAAAAAUUCAUGAAGAUUUCCUAGAAUAAAGUUUUAAGGUGUAGAAUUUUUGGCCACUGCAAACAGAGUCUAGCACACAGAAAAUAUUCAUUCGCAGUGAGUCGCCCAGGAAAUUUAGAGGACUGUUAUACUCAUUCGACGCCACAUUUUUCGACCAAUCAAAAUCCAAGAAAUUUCCUUUUUUGGCUACAAUAAUAAAUAGAAUACAAUUACAUUUACCUGUGCAGUACAAUCUCUGUUUCCGAGGUACAAAAUGAAACGAAAGAGGAAGAAAACGGAAAAGUCAAACUAAAUUUAUAUAUGUUGAGAGAACAAUUGUAUAGCGGUAAAUAGACUCUAACAAAAUGGCGUCAGGUGGCGGAAGUACUCGAGGAAGACUUCCAGAUGAACAAUAUAACAAGAUUCAAGAUAAUUUCGUAUUUCUUAUCGAUCACAUAAAAUAUAAUCCAAUAUGUGUAGCAGAUUCUUUAUUUGAAAAACAUGCCUUCAAUGAGGAUGAUAUGGAGGAAGUAGAGAAGGCAAAGAAGGAUAGUAAAAAAGUCGCCGCUAAGAAAAUACUGAACAUAGUUUUAGGGUGUGGUCACACUGGUUAUGAUAAAUUUAUAGCUGCUCUAUAUGACAAUCAAUAUUAUAAUGCUGUAUUUAAGCUCGAACCAGAUUAUAAAGGCCAUCGAGAUAACGAACCAGGUAUUACUACAUAUGACGAAUUAUUGGCAGGAUUAC